RNAcentral lists this ribosomal RNA (112 nucleotides) under Acanthosepion pharaonis. Lineage: Eukaryota; Metazoa; Mollusca; Cephalopoda; Sepiida; Sepiidae. The record is from RNAcentral.
ACUGCCAUAUCACAAUUAAACACUGGUGCUCGUAUGAUCACCAAAAGUUAAGCAACAUUGAGCUUAGUCAGUACCUAGAUGGGUGACUGCUUGGGAAUACCAGGAGCUGUAG